This 214-nucleotide ribosomal RNA is filed under the name Pleosporales sp. RNAcentral describes it as "partial large subunit ribosomal RNA". The record is from RNAcentral. Lineage: Eukaryota; Fungi; Ascomycota; Dothideomycetes; Pleosporales.
AAGCGCUUGCGGCUAGACGUGCCCGCGGUUGAUCAUCCAGGCUCCGGCCUGGUGCACUCCUCCGCGGGCAGGCCAGCAUCAGUUCGGGCGGUCGGAUAAAGGCCUCUGUCACGUACCACCCCUCGGGGUGGCCUUAUAGGGGAGGCGCAACACGGCCAGCCCGGACUGAGGUUCCGCGCAUCUGCUAGGAUGCUGGCGUAAUAGCAGCAAGCGG